Long non-coding RNA from Neopelma chrysocephalum (saffron-crested tyrant-manakin), 1447 nucleotides. RefSeq lists it as uncharacterized. Lineage: Eukaryota; Metazoa; Chordata; Aves; Passeriformes; Pipridae. The record is from RefSeq and is a predicted model, not a curated record. The transcript is spliced from 3 exons.
ACAGCAGUGAAACUUGACUAAGUUAAGUAGCUCACAGAGAGCCUAAACCACUCCUACGAGGAUUCUGUGUUGCUGCAUUUGUCAGGAGACCUGUAAAUCAAUAAGAACAAAUGAACUGCAAUGGCCCACAGCUACAAGCAACAGCAUAAAGUGCUGAUGGACUGUGUGUUCAGUGUUUCAUAGUGUGCUUCUCUACCAUACUGGUCCCAGGAUGAAGAGAGAAUUCAGUGCUUCAGAGAGCAGGCUCUGUUUCUUUUGGAAGGAGCCAGAUUUUCGGGCUGUAAGUGUGAGCUUCUUCAACUUUGAGAUACUGAGUGGGCAUCUAGUACCAAAGAUUAAAAUACUACUGUUUGUUAUCUGACUGUUUACAUGAUGGAAGCCCAGUCUCCUGUGUGUUUCACAGAAAUCUGCUCAAGAGGAAAACAAUUUUUCCUGCUAAAAAUCCAAAGCAUAAGAAACAAGACAGUUCACAUGAUCAUAUUUAUCCUAGUAUUGCUCUUGGAUGGCUUGAAUAUGUCUUGGGAGUGUUUGGCUUAUUAGAGCAAAUAUAACACAGUGCACUUAAUUUGUCUUACUCUGGAGAGAGUAGAAUAAGGGUCAGUCUAUCUCCAGCUUUGCCCUAAUGGACAUAAAAUAGUUAAUUGGUUCAUUCUUAUGGUCAAAGACAAAGGAGAGGAAAGUUAUGUUAGUCACCUUGAGAAGAUAAGAAUAUACGAUGCUUUGCUGACUUAUACAGGCUUUCCACCAAAAGAAACCCACAUAUAAACUUCUGUCUUUCUUUCAGUGUAGUAUCUAGGAUUGAAUUUAAUGACAAAAUGUUUGAAUUUCUCAUCACAAACCAGAAAAUUGAGCCAGGCUGCAGGUGGCAAAUAUUUUCAGAUUUAGGAUUGAGUUUCAAGUAUGUCUGGCCUGACCUUUCACUUUAAAUGGAAUCCAUAUAAAUACCAACAAUUCCAUGUCAAGUCUGAUAAGGCUUUAGCAGUUUCAUCUGGUUUUCACUCUGUGUUUUCAGAAUAAAAAUGAAAGUCAGAGUGCACCAAAGUUGCUAUUUUUGCUACAGUAACCAAGUGCACUUACAUGACUACCUGUUGCAGUCAGAUUGGUGCUCUGUAAUGACAACUCUGGACUAUCCAGUGCUGAUUUCUGGGAAUUUUCUGGAUACUUACAAAGUAUUUGAUCAUCAUAAAGAUGUUUCAGUGUUGCCUAACAGCUGAACUACUUGUCCAAACUGUGUAUUUUACACUUUCAACUACAGUCUUUAAAAUGCUUCUGUGAGUCUUAGGAUUCUGUAUUGCAUCCAUCAGUGCAAAUGGCUUUUCUUUUGGCUUGAGUUCUUUUUGCACAAAGAUAAUUCACAGAGAUGGAUGCAGGUUGGACCAGUCUCUGUCUCACACAUCCACUCAUAAUGGAAACAAUUCUAAACCUUUUACCAACUGACCACAAGUCA